RNAcentral lists this small RNA (614 nucleotides) under Stomoxys calcitrans (stable fly). Its description in RNAcentral is "lncRNA LOC106093580". Lineage: Eukaryota; Metazoa; Arthropoda; Insecta; Diptera; Muscidae. The record is from RNAcentral.
UCACCCCUAAAUAUUUUAUGUUUCGUUCGAAAUCAAUCGCAUGGUUGUUAUAAACCAAAUGUAAGUCCUUGCAGUUAUGAGUGGAAAACAAAAUAGCUUUAGUCUUCGAGGGAUUAAUGGACAAUCUAUUAGACACCAUUAAAUUGUACAUCAUCCCCAUAAGAAAAGGGUGAACACCAGUCCCUCAAGUCGUCAAAUAAAUCGCUCAAAAUAUGAUCAACAAUAUUGGCCCAAGGACAGACCCUUGGGCACGCCACUCUUAACAAGGAGAACAUCUGAAACCACUCCAUUCACAUUAAUAUAUUGAUUUCCCUGACACAGGCGUUCAGCAACAGCCAAUGCAAAAGAAACGCAUUCACUCGUCCUUGGCGGAAAAAAACGCAUGUGAAUGGUACCAACACAAUUGCUGACACAGCCUCGGCAGAAAUGUAAACAAAAGCUCGGCGCCCAAUCACAAUUCAACCAGAAAGUUUUGCCAAUUGCAGUUCACGUGGACAAAUUCAGCUGACGUUCGCUUGUUUCAACUUACAAUUUAUAGUUGUUAGUUAUAGUAUGAAUUAGUAAAGUAAAACUGAUUGACUACACUUUAUUUUUCAAAUUAUAAUUCUUUUUUA